This 267-nucleotide ribosomal RNA is filed under the name uncultured bacterium. RNAcentral describes it as "partial 16S ribosomal RNA". It matches the Rfam family "Bacterial small subunit ribosomal RNA", at positions 333 to 592 of the family's 1533-position model. The record is from RNAcentral.
UUUUGCCUACGGGACGCAGCAGUAGGGAAUUUUCGUCAAUGGGCGCAAGCCUGAACGAGCAAUGCCGCGGGAACGAGGAAGGUCUUCGGAUCGAAAAGUUCUGUUGAAGGGGAAAAAGAGCGGAGAGAGGAAAUGAACUCCGAUUGAUAUUACACUUCGAGGAAGUCACGGCUAACUACGUGCCAGCAGUAGCGGGAAUACGUAGGUGGCGAGCGUUAUUCGGGAUGAUUGGGCGUAAAGGGUGCGAAGGCGGCCUGCUAAGUCUGG